This 253-nucleotide ribosomal RNA is filed under the name uncultured bacterium. RNAcentral describes it as "partial 16S ribosomal RNA". It matches the Rfam family "Bacterial small subunit ribosomal RNA", at positions 524 to 776 of the family's 1533-position model. The record is from RNAcentral.
UACGGAGGGUGCAAGCGUUAUCCGGAUUCACUGGGUUUAAAGGGUGCGUAGGUGGGCAAGUAAGUCAGUGGUGAAAUCUCCGGGCUUAACCCGGAAACUGCCAUUGAUACUAUUUGUCUUGAAUACUGUGGAGGUCAGCGGAAUAUGUCAUGUAGCGGUGAAAUGCUUAGAUAUGACAUAGAACACCGAUUGCGAAGGCAGCUUACUACACGAUCAUUGACACUGAGGCACGAAAGCGUGGGGAGCAAACAGG